GAUGGUUUUUAUUAUCACAAAUGAAAGGGCUAUAAACAGCCUAGAGCUGAAGACUCAAUCUUCUACAAUAACUAGAAACAGAGAAUAUAGGAAGCACGACUAACUGAAGCGAAAUGCUAGGACUACUUGUUGACUCCUUAUACAUCGGAGAUUAUGCAAAUUAAAACUCGGAAACAAACUAAGAACAAUUCAAACCCAACAAUAUAAUUCCAAUAAAAAAACAGAGUAUGUAGAGCUAAUUCUUGAGGGAAUAUGCCUCUUGAUAUUUCUUUAAGUUCUCAAUACCGACCAAACUUUAUCUGCAUGCCCAAUCAACUUCCAUGUGCUUCAAAUUUCCUAUACGUAUAUAUGCCAAUAACAGGAGUAAGCAAACUUAUGAACACUUGCCUCUUCUGUAAUUCGACAACCACUCUGAAAUUGAGGUGUUGAUGAGCUAAGAAGCCUAGAAGUACAUCAACAACAUUGAACUAAUCAGUUUUAGUCUAUAAAAUAGAUAAAUUCUAUGUUGAUAUUCAAACUAAUCAGUUUUUAGGCUUAAAAUGGAUAAUUUCCAAAGUCAAAAUCCUAACUAACCUCGGUGUCAGACUGAACAAUAAGGGUAUGUAGUUGGUGGAAUUUGGCCUUAUUUUAGAUUUACAUAGAGAAUUCUAACUAUUCGAACUCUGCCACUGGAGCUAUAAUCAUGGCAUUGUUCAUUAACCUCAUAGCCAACAUACAAUGAUACAAGUAGAAUUCUGUAUUGCCAAAUUUCCGAAAACUCAAACAGUUCUUGAGCACAUUUCAUAAAACAACGGACCUUUCAUUGCAUAGACUUAUCGUACGGACCUCAAACCACCACAGCAGAGCUAAAUCAUUUCCACAGUGAAAAAACACAUUGACAAGUGAAGGAACAAGAAGAGAUUUCACCAAAAAGUUGAGAAUAAACUGGAUCAUCUAAAGAUUUUGAUAGUUUCAAAUAGAAACUUCACACUAAAAUGAGAUUGUGACUUGCGAGCCUAAUCAUGAACUAAUCUUACCUAACACACAACAAUAGAAAUAAAAAGUAUAAAGUCCUAGGGUUUAGAACAGAGAAACAGAGUUGCUAGCAAUAACUAGAUUUGUGAAUUAAGAACUUAUCUUCAAGGACGAAAUUUGAGCUCCGAAACAAAACUAGAGAUAGCUUUAUUACUCAGUUAGGACAAUUUAAGAGUUUUUUUUUUCUCUCUUUCAAAUCGAAUAGAGUUUAGUAAUAGGACAAUAGGAGAAGAUUUUGACGCAAACCCAAAUCGGA
Molecule: unclassified non-coding RNA, 1270 nt
Filed under: Arabidopsis thaliana (thale cress)
Lineage: Eukaryota; Viridiplantae; Streptophyta; Magnoliopsida; Brassicales; Brassicaceae
Source: RNAcentral